Molecule: RNA transcript, 5203 nt
Organism: Mauremys reevesii (Reeves's turtle)
Lineage: Eukaryota; Metazoa; Chordata; Testudines; Geoemydidae
Gene: PDGFA
Gene name: platelet derived growth factor subunit A
Exons: 8
Source: RefSeq, a predicted model, not a curated record
UCGAUCCCUAUAAAUAAAGAUCCAUUUACAAGGAGAAAAAGAAAGGGGGAAGGUAGUGGAGGGCCGGAGAGGAGGGGGGCGAUCUUGCAUUAAAUAAAUAAUUAAAGGAACCUGCUGCUGCUCGGGUUUGCCUCCUGCCGGGGAAGGGAGGCGGGUUUGAAGCGCUCCCGCACGUCUGGAGGGGGGCGAGCUUGUCUCAGACAGGUGAUGGGCGUUUCGGCGGCGCUCCGGAUUGACUCCUUGGGUUUCACUUUGGUCUGAUCUAAGCAAAUAUGCAGAAGUACCGGCUGGUCCAGUCCUAGGAGCGCGCGCGAGAGAGCAGCAGAAGCGGAGCUCCUCUAGCAAAGGGAACAUACAAACCCCCCCGGGCGCACCCCAACGUGGACAAAGAGCCCCGAGCCGCACCAGUGUCUUUCCCCGAGGGAUGGUACUGAAUUUCCCAGCCACAGGAGCCGGGCUGGAGCUCCGCCGCAGCACCCUUGCCUUGGAUUCGUGCCCCGAGUGCAUUAGAACGCGAUGAGGACCUGGGCUUGCGUUUUGCUGCUAGGUUUUUGCUACCUUCCUUUUGCGUUUCCCGAGGAAGCUGAAAUCCCCCAGGAGCUAAUCGAGAGGCUGGCUCACAGCGAAAUCCACAGCAUCCGCGAUUUGCAGCGCCUCCUGGAGAUUGAUUCCGUAGGAUAUGACGAUGUUUCAGAAACAAACUUGAGAUCUCAUAGUGUUCAUUCUGCUAAACAUGUUCAAGAGAAUCACCCUGUACCCAUUCGCAGAAAAAGAAGCAUUGAGGAAGCCAUUCCUGCCGUCUGCAAAACAAGAACUGUUAUAUACGAGAUACCUCGGAGUCAGAUCGAUCCCACAUCUGCUAAUUUCCUGAUAUGGCCACCGUGCGUGGAGGUGAAACGUUGUACUGGCUGUUGCAACACCAGCAGCGUGAAAUGCCAGCCGUCACGGAUACAUCACAGAAGUGUCAAGGUGGCAAAAGUGGAAUAUGUUAGAAAAAAGCCAAAAUUAAAAGAAGUUCUGGUGAGGUUAGAAGAGCAUAUGGAAUGCACCUGUACAUCAUCAAAUUCUAAUUCAGAUUAUCGAGAAGAAGAAACUGCUUUCCAAAAUGUUUAUUGUGGACAACGAUUAAGCAGUUGAAUUUUCAAGAUGAAAAGCUUGUGCGUAUAUGAGAAAAAUGGGAUGUCAGUUCAGAAUCAGGCGUAUGAAGGAAAUGAUCAGAAUGGCAGAAGACAAUGAUUCAUAUCCAUAGUUAUAGGUGAGAAAAUGUUAUGGAUGGCAAGUUUAAAAUAACUAAACUACAGGGACUGAAGGCAAAUGUUGAAUACAAUAGCUAACAGUAGUUACAAGGCAGAUCUAUCACCACCAACACCAUCUUGGGUUACUGGACCUUUGCUUUUAUAUAAUUACUCUACUUAUGCAAACAUUAUUUCAAAAUCGGAAGUUAUAAAGAAAUACCUGUAAUGCAAAAGAUUGUGAGUAUUCUGUGAGAGAUAACAACUUGAGUGUUUAUUACUUCAGUUUUCAACAAAAUGCAUUAUCUUAGGGCUUUUUACCAGCCUACCCUUAUGUUAACAGGAAGGCCUAGGGAAACAGGUAAAAAACGGAAACGAAAAAGGUUAAAACCAACAUAAAAACUACUGGAACUAUUUGCUAAUCAGAUUAACAGGUAUUUAUUGGGAGUAGUAUGAUAGAAGCAAAGAUUUUGUAAAAUUCAACUUUAAAAGUCAGCAUGUAAACUCAAUCAAAACAGCAUUUAGAACUUCUUGUCCCAGAUGUAAGGUGAAAUAAGCUAGAAAAAAAAAGAACUUCUCUCUGGGACAUGGAUGUACAUGGUUUGUUACAUUCCUGAACCUACUAUGUAUGGUGCUUUAUUGACUGUAUACUUUAUUUGUUCUCCUGUGUGAAAAAAACUGGCUGAAAAGAACACUUAAUGAGAACAAAGAGACAAUGUACAUUUGUUUAAUGUGACAUCAAAGCAAGUAUUGUAGCACUCUGUGAAACAAUAGGAAGCUUCCCUGUCCAAAAAAACACAAAACAACAAAACAAACAAAGAAAAUAAAAAAGACAGUUGAAUGAAUGGAGGAUACCAAAAGUACAAAACAAAAAAUAAAAGAGGAAGAAGAAGAAGAAGAAAAAAAGAGACAAAAAUCUUAAGUGAAUAGUGGAUUUCUGUCGGAGCAGUCAAUGGUGCUUUAUGUCAAGAAAUGUGCCUGCUUUCUUGAUGAAGAUGGAUGGACACAAAUGGACUUCAGGCACAAAAAAGCAGGAAUGUAUCAAAUGAUCAAAUGCCACGCAAACACUAUAGAAACAGUACAUCCUUGCUUGGUGGUGUUUUAAAGUCUAUACAAAAAAAGAAUACCUUCUGGGGAGCCUUAAAUGGAUUUUUUUUUACACCAUAAAGUGAUUAUUAAGCUUUCUUUUUACUCUUUGCCUAGCUUUUUAUUAUCUCUUGGACUACAUUUAUCAGUAACACAUAUAGAAGACUGGUGUAACAGUAAGCAGAACACAAACAUUAUGGUAUUUCUCCUAGUGGGAUGCAAACUAAUGAGAUAUAUUAAAAUAAAAAUGGUAUACCUAUGCAUAAUUUUCUAGACGUUUCUUGGUUUAUGUCUCCCAACCUCCCCCGUAAUUUAAAGCAUUUAAAAAAACCUGAUGUGUGUAAACAAAUCAUAGGAUAUCCACGCAAAUAUCCUUUUUUUCUUUGAGACUUAUGCCAGUUGCCUAAUAGUGAUAUUGUGUUAGCAAUUGCCAUUCUUAUUGGUAUACAAAUACUUUUAUUUCACAUGUUGGCGCUAUGUGAAAUGUACAAAUUCUUGUAUCCGCAUUGUACAAUGUCAUUGUGGCAUGGGAAAGCCCUUGCUGCAAAUAGUUGAACAAAACCUAAAAUUCUUUAUUUUUGGUAAAAUGUUAUGCUUUAUGUGUAUUCAACAGAAAUAUGUGUUUUGUAAAGGUGAAGUUUGUAUUUUUAUCUAAAAUUAACAGUUUUAUAUACCUAAGAAAGCCUGCUAUGUUUUCUUGAACAAAAAAGAAAAGAAAAGAAAAAGCAUUUUGUGGUCAUAUUUUUGUAGUUGAAUAGCCCAAAUAACUUCAAAAUAUAUUUUAAGUAUAGCAGGGCAGAUAAAAUACUCAGGCACCAACUCCUACAUUUUCAAAGUGCCGAGGAAUUUAAUUGUUCAACUCCUCCAGGGACUGUAAUGGGAGCCACAUAGCUAAUUCUUGUCUGCUGCUUUGGAAAUGUAGGCCUGUGCCAUAUAGACCAUGGCUACCCUGUUAGCCAAAAUCACUGCCCCAGCCUGGUGGUUUAGAUGAUAUGCCCUUUGUGUUACAGUCUUUGGAUUAUCACAUUGGACAUGUAAAAUAAACUACUGGGUUCUUUUCUUUAUGAAACAUCUCCAAUAAGGCUUCUCUUGCUGUCAGAUGAAUCUGUUCUAGGGGCCAGUUUGUCACCUAUGUGUUUCAGGCAUAGAAUAUCAGGGUUGGAAGGGACCUCAGGAGGUCAUCUAGUCCAACCCCUUGCUCAAAGCAGGACUAAUCCCCAGACAGAUUUUUGCCCCAGAUCCCUAAAUGGCCCCCUCAGGGAUUGAACUCACAACCCUAGGUUUAGCAGGCCAAUGCUCAAACCACUGAAAGAUUCCUCUCUCCUUUGUACAUAAUGACAAAAGAGCAAGUCUUGAGGAUAAUGUAUCCACCCUGAAUUAAAAAUCUCAAAUGUGAAUGAACUCCAGACCUUUAAGAUAUAACAAAAAAAGAGAGAUUUUGUUAACACAUCCGCCCACCCACUAUAGCUAUGCCCAAUUCCAACCAAACGAAGCAAUUUUAAUGAACAGGCAUUGGUUUCAACUGCUAAUACAGGGAUAGAAUUAGUCACUAUCCUGUUUGCGAUCAUCUUCCCAGUGUAUUACAUUAAGCACCAAAACUGGAAAUACAUUUACUAAAACUAUCUGUGCUUGUUCUUCACUAAGUGUACUGUUCACAAUGUUAUGCCCAUGAAUGUAUGUGUCUGCAUUCAAAAGAAAAGUGUAUAAAUUGUAAUUUAUAUAUUUAUGUUUCGGUGGGAUGUCAAUAGUGUUGCUCAGUUUUGUUUUUUGUUUUUUUCUUUUGGGGGUGGUUGUCUAAAACAGCUAAUGAAAAAAGAAUUCAUAUAUCUCUAUUAAAAUCAUGUAGAUGAAAAAUAUGUGGCCCACUCAGACGUUGUGCAAGUUUGAAAGGAUGCCGAAGUCACUUAAGUGGAAUAGUGCAUGAGUGGAUUUUUCAACUAAGGUUGCACUGGCACAGUAGGGAUGAAUUUAAAUCACUCACCUGGGCCAGAUCUUCAGACAGUUUAAUUUGGUGUAGCCCCAUCGAUUAUAAUGGUGUGUUUACACCACCUGAGUAUAUUUAAUCUUGAUGAAAAUGCAAGUAACAGGCAUGCAUUUUCCUGGUGCCAGCAUAGAAAUCUAUUAUGCCAAGUUUGAAAGGAGAGAAUGAAGACUGAAUGAAGAACUUUCUGGUAAUUAUUUGUCUGAGAUUUGAAAUCUGUAAUUCAUUUUGUUACCAGGCAUUAGGAGCAUACAAAGUCUUUAUUUUCAAACCCAGUGUUUACAUGGUUCACAGUAGCAAUCAUCAAAGUCUUAGGGCCAGAUUCUCAGCUGGUGUAAACUGACAAGCUCUAUUAACUUCAGUUUACAUCAGCUGAGGAUCUGGACCACAGUCUUUAAAAUAUUGCUGAAUGUUGUAAUUUGUGCCAUUGAUUCUAUUCCAGUUGAAAUUCUAUCUGCAAGCAUUUCCAGCAUUACUGUCUGUUGAAUCAGUCCUCAUCUAUUUCUGUGAUAAAACAAAUAUAACCAGGAGGAACAGUAACAUUAAGGCUUGUGACUCAAAAUAGCAUAAGCAAGGGACAGUAAUUCAAAGUUAAGUUGGGCAUUUUGAGGGCCAGAUCCUCAGUUCACGUAAAACAAUAGCUCCACUGACUUCAAUGGAGUUAUGCCAAUUUACACCACUUGAAGGUCUGGUCCUCUACCCUUUACUCAUCCCCUUUGGUCUCAGGUCUUGCAAGGAUCGCAGAUAAUUGCGUAUGGUUAAAGUAACAUCAUGUUCCAACACUUUAAGCACCAUAGGUGAGUUUGAGAAAGAGUGUCAGGCUUAACUUCGAAUUUCCAUGCUUUGCAAUGGUUUGUUUCACCAUUGUAGCUGUAAAUUAAACAGUUUUCUGUGCAUUCACAAA